CGCAAUCAAACAGACCCUUGUGGUUUUAGAGUAUAUUCUUCUCAGUUUCACCCGUCUUUUAAAUCCAAAAAUAGAAAUGGCAGUUUUCUUGCUCUUUACUACCACAUUCAAUCACUCACACACUUACACUACUUUCAAUUUCUUCACCUCACUGCAAAAUUUCUGUGGGGAUUCAUUCUCCAAUUUAAAGGCUAAAGGAAGAAUUCACAGAAUAUGUUGUAGGAAGGUUCGAGUUGUGUCGUCGCAUUCCAAUCCCAAAAUUCUGAAGCGCAAUCGUAAAUCCAGGUAUGGACAGCCAUUGUCUCCUUAUGACAGUGAAGAAGAAAAAGAAGUUGAUGAUGACGACAGUGGUGGUGACGAUUGGAUUUCUGAUGUGAGUUUCUUUCUCUUCUCUUCUCUUCUCUUUUUUUUUUAUUUUUUUUUUUAAAUUUUGAUUUAUUAUUUUUUGUUUCUAAUGAUAUUUAUGCUACUUUAAGGUCUGAAGAAAGAAAUAAAAUGGGUUUCUACAAGAGAUUUUAUUUGUUAUCCUGCAGGCUAAUAAGCAUUUUCGGCUCAGAUGUUCGAUUAUUGUAAAAAGAAAAAUGGACAAAUGCAGAAUUGGAAGUCUAAAAUAGCAAUCUUUACUUGAUAGUGUGCACUCAUCAAAUCACAAAUUGAAGAAAUUGAAGAGGAUAUUCAAUGCUCUGCUGUCAGUUAAUGUAAAUUAUAUAUAUGUGGUUUGAAAUAUGAACUUGCUUGCAAAUAGGACAACUGUGGAAUGUCUUUUAAAUUAAGUGAUUAUUGGAUUAACUUUGGCAUGUAGUGCAGGGAAGUGUAAUUUAUUUAUAUAUAUUGGUCUGGGACACAGUUUUGAAAAUUGUCUAUGUUAAAUCCACUCGUAAAUUUUAGGGAAUAGAGAGCUCUAUUAGUUUAUGCAAAAUUUAUGGCGUCAUUGAUGUUCUGCAAAACUUGACAUUAUAGGGUCUUGUAUAUCAAUCCUUUAAAAAGGAUGUUUUGUGGCCUCCAAACUACUGGUGCCAUAGUAAUUUUGUCAAUGGAAAUAUGCUGUAGUUACAUGUCAGUCAGUCACUGAUGCAAGGAUAAUAAAUCCACAAUGAAAUUCAACUUGAUAUAAUUUAUUUGUUUGCCACUUUCUGAUGGUCAUUUUUUUUGGGUUGGGAUACAGGAAGAGUUUGCAGACAACAAAAUUUCUGAAGCUGAUAGACAAAAGUUAAAGAUGCAGAAUUCGACCAAGAUGAAACAAGGUAUUUGUAAUUUUUUGAAUAGUAUCAAAGAGUUGAAGGAGUCAAGGAAUGUAAAGUCGUGGUUCACAGUCCAUCCUUUAUUACUAGAAGAAGGGGCUUGGAUGUAAAGUUAUGUUGGCAAUGUGGUCCUAUUCAACUGAACCAUGUGGAAUUCUCAUGCAUUCACCAUUAACUAGGUUUUUUGGGGGGUAGUUGACACAGACUCAUUUUCUCUUGAUCUUCUUUUCUCGCAAUAUUGUCUGAUUAGGUUUUUCAGUCUUCUUUGAAGUUACCGUUGAUAUCUCGUUUCUUAGAGAUUUUCUGGUCUAUGUUGUUUGGUCUAACUGAUGACUUAAUGGCUUAGUCCCUAGUGUUUGGACGGAAUGAGUGCUGUAUAUUCUUGAGAGGUUUGAGAGGGUUACUAUGUUGUAUCAUUGUGAAUAUUUGUUAACUUCGUGACCAUUUCUGGUGUUCUGUGUUAUGAUUUCUGCAGUGCUUGUGAAAAUUUACCGAUUUCGUGGUGCUUGGAUUCUAUACAGUAGGAUUAAUCGAUUUAAGGUAAAGCUCAUUGUGCAGGCAGUCGCAGGCAUCUGGAGAGAGGUGGAGGUGCAAGCUCUUUAAAUUCUGGACGAAACCUUGAAACAAGGCAACACAAGUUGGGUAUAAAGAAUGGCAAAGACAUCCUAAAAAAGAGAGAGAGUAGCAUUUCGUAUAACACUUCCAGGCAAUCAGCAAGCAUUUCUUCUUUAGGUGAUAGCAGAGAAAAGGUAUCAAUCAUCACAACUGUCAGAUGUAACUUUUGAGUGGUAAUGACCACCACAAUGUUUGUUGUUUUAUCUGAUUGUGUUGGAUGAAUUGGUUUUACCAAUUAUUUUAUUUGGUACCAUUAGUUGGACAAAAGUUCUCUUUGGCCUAGUGUAUUCUACUCCAAGAGUGGAUUAAUGAUAUGUAUUUAUUAUUGCAAAACCAAUUAAGGGUGAAUGAGAAAUUACUGCCGAAAGAUGAACACUUGAAGUUGAAAUAAAGUGGGAAUGAAAAUUGGUGGGAAAUUGGAGAAUCCCAACCUACAUGCUAGUAGCUUGAGCCAAAACCCACAUGCGCUCUGUCGGUCGACAUGGCACCGAAAUUUUGCCCAAUUGUUUAGUCACUAUAAAAGAUCAUUUUGAAUAUAAAUUAUUGCAUCAGGUAACUAUAAUCACAACUGUUAAAUAUGAUUUUGUGUAGUAAUGACCGCCAUAAUGUUUAUUGUUUUAUCUGAUUGCACCAGGAAGCAGAAAGUUCUUCUAAGAAAAGAUUCACUCAUUUGUCAGAAGAACUAGACUUAGACGAUAGGUGGUUACCGCUUCUGGAUCAUUUGAGCACUUUUGGUCUUAAGGAAUCACAUUUUAUUCAAAUGUAUGAAAGGCAUAUGCCAUCCCUUCAGAUAAAUGUUGACUCUGCUGAGGAAAGAUUGGGAUAUUUGUUAAGUGUUGGCGUCAAACACAGAGAUAUCAGAAAAAUAAUUUUGAGACAGCCUCAAAUUUUGGGGUACACCAUCGAAAACAAUCUGAAGUCUCAUGUUGCCUUUUUGGGAAGAUUGGGCAUUCCAGAAUCGAGAAUAGGGCAAAUAAUUACUGCCACCCCAUCCAUGUUCUCUUACAGUAUUGAUAAUUCUUUAAAACCUACAGUCAAGUACCUUCUUGAGGAGAUAGGAAUCGAGAAGCAUGAUCUGAGUAAAGUUGUGCAGUUAAGCCCUCAAAUUCUGGUUCAGCGGAUAGACAAUACAUGGACUGCUCGUUUCAAUUUUCUGACAAAAGAAUUGGGAGCACCCAGAGAGAGUAUAGUAAAGAUGGUCACUAAACACCCUCAAAUACUACACUACAGCAUUGAAGAUGGAUUACGCCCCAGGAUCAAUUUCUUAAGAGGCAUUGGGAUGUGCAUCUCUGAUAUACUGAAAGUAUUAACUAGCCUUACACAGGUCAGCUGGAUUCUCUUGUGCAAUUGAUUUUGUACCUCAAACUACAAGCUCGACCAACUUGUCCUCAAAAUUGAAUCCAUGCCUUUUACCUUUUCAUACAGAUCUUGUUUUGCUUAACAUCACAAUCAAAUUAAAUUUUCAGAUGAUGCCAUCUGUGCUUGCAGGUAUUCUCUCUGUCAUUGGAGGGAAAUCUGAAACCUAAAUACAUGUACUUGAUCAAUGAACUUAAAAAUGAGGUCCAUUCCCUGACCAAAUAUCCGACAUACCUAAGCUUGUCUCUUGACCAGCGAAUUCGUCCUCGCCAUAGGUUUUUGGUUUCCUUGAAGAAAGCUCCGAAAGGGCCAUUUCCUUUGAGCUCACUGGUUCCAACUGAUGAAAACUUUUGCCACCAGUGGGCAGGAACUAGCUUAGACAAAUAUCUGGAUUUCCGGGAGAGAUUGCUGCUCAAAGAGUUUGCAAAGAAGUACGAAAGACAAUGAUUAGUUCCAUUCUCAUUCCUAGUCUACUUGGUAAUAGAUCACACACAUUACAGCAAAUUGAGAUGCAUAUACUCUUUUCCUGGGAACACUUGAAUAUUAAGGUGAGUCAGAUGUUCAUGAUAAUUGACACAUACAUUUAUAUCGAAGAAACAUGUAUAAUGUUAAUUUCUGUUUUAUAUCUGUGCUAGCUGUUUCUAAAUUUUGCUAUACAAUUUUGCGAGGUGUUGUCCUACGUCAAUGCUUACACUGUGAUAGUCCCUGUUUAUUAAAAUCGAAUUAAAACUAACCUUGAUAUGCUGGGUUCCAGUGAUGACGUUUGAUUGUUAGAAUCAACAGAAGUUAGUCCUCCUCCUCCUCCUCCUUGAUAUGCUGGGUUCCAGUGAUGACGUUUGAUUGUUAGAAUCAACAGAAGUUAGUCCUCCUCCUCCUCCUCCUCCUCAUUAUUAUUAUUAUUAUGUUUUUUUAUGGGUCUAAUACAUUGGUCAAAUAAAAUAGUUGAACUGAAUUCAAAUGAAUUGCACAAUCAUUCUAAUGAUCAUCUACCUUGAUUUUAUUUUAAAACCCAAAUUCUCCUUCUCCUUCUCCUUCUCCUUCUCCUCCUCCUCCUCCUCCUCCUCCUCCUCCUUCUUAUUAUUAUUAUUAUUAUUAUUAUGUUUUUUUAUGGGUCUAAUACAUUGGUCAAAUAAAAUAGUUGAACUGAAUUCAAAUGAAUUGCACAAUCAUUCUAAUGAUCAUCUACCUUGAUUUUAUUUUAAAACCCAAAUUCUAAUGUUUGCCACUUCUCGGACAGGUUUGUUAUUUGAUUACAACCCGUUAAGAGAAAAGAUAUGCAAUAGCUAGUCUUGACGGCUGCUGAUUUCUUGUUGAAGGAUUCUUUUGUGCUCGUUUCUUUGACACUUCCUGUCUUUCAUACUUCUUAUUACAUACAACGGCUAUGCUUUUCCCUGUUGCAGUACCUUCACAACUACCAACUUUUAUUUUGAUGGCAGUUAAGAAGGUAUCAGUGAUUAUUAUUUCCCAUUUCUUUUGAAUAUGUAUUGGUAAUUCCUCUCUUUUCCCCCAACAUAGGCAUGAUUAACUAUUUCAUAAAAAUCAUUCUUUUCUACUACCCUCGUGUAUAUUUUGUUGUAAUACUGGUAUGUAUUAUGAUUUGGGAUACUUCUUAGCGAUGAAAAUAUUUGUUUAUAUAAAUUCAAAAUGUUGGCAAAGUUAUUUCUAUCAUUUGUUUUUUCGUACUUGACCCUAAGUGCAUGAUAUCGUUAAAUGAAGUUUGUGAUUCUAAGUGUCAUUCACUUGUGUUCUUCACUUACUCUAGACGAUCGUUAAAUUAGCAUGAUCAUGUCUUGUAAUCUUUGUAUAAACUUCAUUUUUGCAAGAUUUCGUGUUCACACAUAGUAGAGCA
Molecule: long non-coding RNA, 5061 nt
Filed under: Olea europaea subsp. europaea
Lineage: Eukaryota; Viridiplantae; Streptophyta; Magnoliopsida; Lamiales; Oleaceae
Source: RNAcentral